UGUGGCAGAAUAGUGUAGUAAACUUAAGAUUUAUUUAUAAAGUAAACUUUCUUUAGAAUAA
RNAcentral lists this transfer RNA (61 nucleotides) under Lycoprogenthes sp. UPOL A00524. RNAcentral describes it as "tRNA-Leu". The record is from RNAcentral. Lineage: Eukaryota; Metazoa; Arthropoda; Insecta; Coleoptera; Lycidae.